This 545-nucleotide long non-coding RNA is filed under the name Piliocolobus tephrosceles (Ugandan red Colobus). Its description in RNAcentral is "lncRNA (ENSPTEG00000031900.1)". The record is from RNAcentral. Lineage: Eukaryota; Metazoa; Chordata; Mammalia; Primates; Cercopithecidae.
UAGCCGACUUUCAGUUGCCCCUCACCGCCUUCCCACACCACUCAGGAGUUCCUCGCGCCAAGUAUUUACUCAAGAGUGACUAAGUGCACGCAGUUCACAAAGUAACAACAGAAAACGUCCACGUUUUCCCUGGUAGAUCAGAACAUCUGCCGCUUCCCCUCAGCUUUCUUCAGAUUGCUCCUAGGUGCUUUAGAGAUGCGUUUUCAAAUUACACGUUGAGAUCCAGGAGUGAAUACUCAAAUCUAUUGAGUCGUGAGCACAUUUCUGUCCCAAAUAAAAUAGUAACGAUAUGUCCUGAUUGGAUAAUAAACUGUGUGAUCAACCUACUUCCCGCUCUCAAAGAUAGGAUUCUGUACAGCCCUCUGAAAGGGUCCAGAAGUGCUCUGGAGCCAGAGUGCCCUGAGGCCAUUGCUAUAGCACAUCCAGCGUGGUGAUCAUCAGUUAGCAGACGGUAUCUACACAUACAGAGGAGCCCAGAGGGGCUGCCUGCACAGGUGAGUCAUCCCUAAGGGGAGUGGGGAUGGGGAUGGGCAUCUUCUAGUAAA